CGCUGGCGGCGUGCCUAACACAUGCAAGUCGAGCGAGGAGAUCCUCGGGAUGAUCCUAGCGGCGGACGGGUGAGUAACACGUGGGCAACCUGCCUCAUAGAGAGGAAUAGCCUUCCGAAAGGGAGAUUAAUACCUCAUAACAUUGCAGUUUCGCAUGAAACAGCAAUUAAAGGAGCAAUCCGCUAUGAGAUGGGCCCGCGGCGCAUUAGCUAGUUGGUGAGGUAACGGCUCACCAAGGCGACGAUGCGUAGCCGGCCUGAGAGGGUGAUCGGCCACAUUGGGACUGAGACACGGCCCAGACUCCUACGGGAGGUAGCAGUGGGGAAUAUUGCACAAUGGGGGAAACCCUGAUGCAAGCAACGCCGCGUGAGUGAUGACGGCCUUCGGGUUGUAAAGCUCUGUCUUCAGGGACGAUAAUGACGGUACCUGAGGAGGAAGCCACGGCUAACUACGUGCCAGCCGCUGC
This 466-nucleotide ribosomal RNA is filed under the name uncultured bacterium. Its description in RNAcentral is "bacterial SSU rRNA". It matches the Rfam family "Bacterial small subunit ribosomal RNA", at positions 34 to 518 of the family's 1533-position model. The record is from RNAcentral.